This 206-nucleotide microRNA precursor is filed under the name Oryza rufipogon (brownbeard rice). Its description in RNAcentral is "MIR812 microRNA precursor family". It matches the Rfam family "MIR812 microRNA precursor family". Lineage: Eukaryota; Viridiplantae; Streptophyta; Magnoliopsida; Poales; Poaceae. The record is from Rfam by way of RNAcentral.
AAAAAGACAAACCCUGGGUUUCCGUGUCCAACUUUGAUUGUCCGUCUUAUAUGAAUUUUUUUUAUAAUUCGUAUUUUCAUUGUUGUUAGAUGAUAAAACAUGAUUAAUAUUUUAUGCGUGACUUGUCUUUUUAAUUUUUUUUCAUAAUUUUUUCAAAUAAGACGGACGGUCAAACGUUGGACACGGAAACCAGGGUUUGUCUUUUU